This 73-nucleotide transfer RNA is filed under the name Felis catus (domestic cat). It matches the Rfam family "tRNA". From Rfam's summary of the family: Transfer RNA (tRNA) molecules are approximately 80 nucleotides in length. The record is from Rfam by way of RNAcentral. Lineage: Eukaryota; Metazoa; Chordata; Mammalia; Carnivora; Felidae.
GCCUGGCUGGCUCAGUUGGUGGAGUACACGACUCUUGAUCUUGGGGUCGUGAAUUCGAGCCCCACGUUGGGCG